CCACAGUUCCGUGGUACUCGAUGCUAAUGCCGCAUCUUUGUUGCUUUCCCAGCCGGCUGCCUCCCCUUCACAGUCAAAGGCGAAGCAUCAGGCCUGCUGGCCCUGCCCAGUCACGUGGACGCCCAGGAGCAGAGGAGCAAUGACCCGCCAGAAGGCGCCGUGGGCUCUGGCCAUGCAACAGAACGUCACCAGCCAACAUCGAAGGCAAAGGUCCUGCUGCCCAGUGCCGUGCAAGGUGGACUGUGACAGAACAGUCUUCCUGAGACACACGGCUCACCUUGGAGAGGUGCGCCAGCACACAGCUUUUGCGGUACUUGCGGUGAAUUUGGAACUUCUUCCCUUACUUCAGAAGGAAGCCCUGUGUCUGCAGCUCCUGCUCCCCAAGUCCCUGCCCUAGCCUCCUGCCUCUGUCUCAAGUGAGCACCUUCUGUCUUGAUAUUUUACUAUUCUGAACUAGCAGUUAAAUCAAUCAUACAGAAGGUGGCUUUUUUCACUGAGCAUAAUGUUUGACAAGAUUUAUCCAUAUUGCAGCACAUACCUGAGCUUGAUUUCUUUUUAUGGCCACAUAAA
RNAcentral lists this long non-coding RNA (570 nucleotides) under Ictidomys tridecemlineatus (thirteen-lined ground squirrel). Its description in RNAcentral is "lncRNA (ENSSTOG00000033811.1)". Lineage: Eukaryota; Metazoa; Chordata; Mammalia; Rodentia; Sciuridae. The record is from RNAcentral.